UCGACCUAGUUCCGACAAAU
Molecule: ribosomal RNA, 20 nt
Filed under: Mucidosphaerium sphagnale
Lineage: Eukaryota; Viridiplantae; Chlorophyta; Trebouxiophyceae; Chlorellales; Chlorellaceae
Description: partial 28S ribosomal RNA
Source: RNAcentral